UGCGGAGGGAUCAUUACCGAGUUUACAACUCCCAAACCCCUGUGAACAUACCACUUGUUGCCUCGGCGGAUCAGCCCGCUCCCGGUAAAACGGGACGGCCCGCCAGAGGACCCCUAAAACUCUGUUUCUAUAUGUAACUUAUGAGUAAAACCAUAAAUAAAUCAAAACUUUCAACAACGGAUCUCUUGGUUCUGGCAUCGAUGAAGAACGCAGCAAAAUGCGAUAAGUAAUGUGAAUUGCAGAAUUCAGUGAAUCAUCGAAUCUUUGAACGCACAUUGCGCCCGCCAGUAUUCUGGCGGGCAUGCCUGUUCGAGCGUCAUUUCAACCCUCAAGCACAGCUUGGUGUUGGGACUCGCGUUAAUUCGCGUUCCUCAAAUUGAUUGGCGGUCACGUCGAGCUUCCAUAGCGUAGUUGUAAAACCCUCGUUACUGGUAAUCGUCGCGGCCACGCCGUUAAACCCCAACUUCUGAAUGUUGACCUCGGAUCAGGUAGGAAUACCCGCUGAACUUAAGCAUAUCAAUA
Molecule: ribosomal RNA, 522 nt
Filed under: Fusarium oxysporum
Lineage: Eukaryota; Fungi; Ascomycota; Sordariomycetes; Hypocreales; Nectriaceae
Description: eukaryotic LSU rRNA
Rfam family: 5.8S ribosomal RNA (bases 166-319)
Source: RNAcentral